GAUGAAGAACGCAGCGAAAUGCGAUAAGUAAUGUGAAUUGCAGAAUUCAGUGAAUCAUCGAAUCUUUGAACGCACAUUGCGCCCGCCAGUAUUCUGGCGGGCAUGCCUGUUCGAGCGUCAUUUCAACCAUCAAGCCCCCGGCUUGUGUUGGGGACCUGCGGCUGCCGCAGGCCCUGAAAUGCAGUGGCGGGCUCGCUGUCACUCCGAGCGUAGUAGUUACAUCUCGCUCUGGGCGUGCUGCGGGUUCCGGCCGUUAAAAGCCUUAUUUACCCAAGGUUGACCUCGGAUCAGGUAGGAAGACCCGCUGAACUUAAGCAUAUAAGCGGAGGA
This 330-nucleotide unclassified non-coding RNA is filed under the name soil metagenome. RNAcentral describes it as "partial contains 5.8S ribosomal RNA, internal transcribed spacer 2, and large subunit ribosomal RNA". The stretch from base 1 to 120 matches the Rfam family "5.8S ribosomal RNA", at positions 35 to 154 of the family's 154-position model. The record is from RNAcentral.